CUUUCUCUUCUUCUAGUCAGAAGACUAACCAAACCUUCCAUACUACGUCUUUUGCCUUGAUAGGGGUGUUCCUUGAACCUCACAGCUUUAGCACAGCACUUUCUGUUGAGAUUCCCGCCAACGGGGAAGUAUUAGUGCCAGUCCUCUGCCUCUUUUUGUUUCUGUUGUCUGGAUUUCAUUUAGUGGCCCACGAACAGAGGCAGGAUAGCCAAGCCCUGCAGGUGGAGGCAGGGACCAGGCUCAGGAGCAAGGGCAGAGUGGUUUCUUUGUUUCUAAAGGGAAUGGCAGUGUUUUCUGCAGGUGGAUUUGCCACAGCCUUUCUUACAGGACUGAGACUGGGAUGAGAAGUGCCCUGAAGGGGGUGUGCUUGCAAGUAGGCAAAAGAGAAAUGCAAAUCAAGGUAACUGUGUUGGAGACCCUGCCUGGGAGCAGAGUGACGUGAGAGCCCCACCACCUUCUGCUUAGGAGCUGUGUAGAGUCCCCAUCCCAAAUGGCGUGUUUCCUUAGCAAAACGGUUGUUCUUCUGGAAAGCCCCAGCUCCUCGCGUUACAUUACUACGUGAAGAAUCCCAGGCUGAAUUAUUGAGAACUAGUUUUUUGUUAGUGGUCAAGUAAAACACGGCAACAGAGGCAGCGGGGGGUAACCUCAGGAAAAAGAGGGGACAAAAACAUCUCCUGUGUCAAGGCCUGACUUGAUGAGAAAGGAAGAGCUGUGGAAGUGUGCGUGGUUGGAGGUGUCCAUCUCCUAGACUGCACCCAGAGGAGGAGAAUGAUUCUGGCUCUGCAGUCUCGGAACUCCAGUCAGUACACACAGGGAAGGAUUUCUGGGCUGAGAUGAAUUUAUAUCUCUGCAGCUUCUAAUCUUUUGCAUGUGGCGUUCUCAUGCAGUGAAGCUUUUGAGCAUGGUUUAUCGUCACCGUAGCUGACCUGCAUGGGAAAAGAUGCCAUUAG
This 950-nucleotide long non-coding RNA is filed under the name Gallus gallus (chicken). Its description in RNAcentral is "lncRNA (ENSGALG00010000327.1)". Lineage: Eukaryota; Metazoa; Chordata; Aves; Galliformes; Phasianidae. The record is from RNAcentral.